GAUUUAACCAAGCGCGGGUAAACAGCGGGAGUAACUAUGACUCUCUUAAGGUAGCCAAAUGCCUCGUCGUCCAAUUAGCGACGCGCAUGAAUGGAUUAAUGAGAUUCCCACUGUCCCUAAUUACUAUCUAGCGAAACCACAGCCAAGGGAACGGGCUUGGCAAAAUUAGCGGGGAAAGAAGACCCUGUUGAGCUUGACUUUAUUCAGAAUUUGUGAAAUGGUGCUCGAGGUAUAGAAUAGGUGGGAGUGUAACGAAAUUGAAAUACCACUACUUUUGACGUUGUUUUACUUAUUAAAUAAAAACUAAAAGAUUAAUAAUCUUGAUUCUAGAAUUAACGAAUAUUACAUGUUGACUCCAUGUGGGUUAACCUCUGAUUUGGGAAGUUUGUUUAAGACAUUUUCUGGUGGGAGUUUGGCUGGGGCGGCACAUCUGUUAAAAGAUAACACAGGUGUCCAAAGUAUAACUCAAUGAGAACGGAAAUCUCAUGUAGAAUAAAAGGUAAAGUUAUAUGAUUUUGAUUUUCAGUAAGAAUACAAACCGUGAAAGCGUG
Molecule: ribosomal RNA, 551 nt
Filed under: uncultured eukaryote
Lineage: Eukaryota
Description: eukaryotic LSU rRNA
Rfam family: Eukaryotic large subunit ribosomal RNA
Source: RNAcentral